CAUGGCAGAUGUUCUCACAUAACUCGUCGAUGUGCCAGCAUUGUAAAUCUGUGAAAUGUGGCAACAAUGAGGUUCACGCAAGCUGUUUGUGGGUCUCGUGUUUCAGUGUAGCAUGGCUUACUGUUUGUGGUGUUCCAUGUGACUUGCUUCUUCUGGUGCUGUUUGAUUCUGACGAUGUAUUGAUAUUCUGUGAAAGAGCAUGUGUUUCUUGUGAAACAGUAUUGAAUAAGUGGUUCCUUUAAGACAUGUCAGCGACUGUUUUUAGAACGUUUCAGUGGUCAACAUAAACCAUCUAAACACUGCAUUCAAGUCUUGGUAACGAAGCUGAAGAUAAAGAGAACAUUGUUAGAUCUGCAUAGUGGGGAGUACCUGCAGUUAUUGGAAGAAAGUAUGGGUAAGGUAAAGACACAAUUGUUGGCAUUGCCCAUAAAGUCUCUUAGCUGUUUAUUGCAGGAAUCUGGAAUAUCGUGUAGCACGUGUCACAGAGCUGCUGAGAAAGCAGGCCUGUAUCCCUACAAGUUUACAGUUAUUCAUGAACUGAUACAGACUGACCAUGAUAAACUCUAACAUAUUGCCAUUGCUCUAAAUCUUUCGAAGUUAUACACUGCCGCUUAGUUAAAAUAUGAAAUUAUCCGCACUAUGGCAGGAUUUAGAUUGCAAACAUCGUGAUAAAGUAC
RNAcentral lists this long non-coding RNA (677 nucleotides) under Androctonus crassicauda. The record is from RNAcentral. Lineage: Eukaryota; Metazoa; Arthropoda; Arachnida; Scorpiones; Buthidae.